This is a long non-coding RNA of Brassica napus (rape), 5936 nucleotides long. RefSeq lists it as uncharacterized. NCBI's taxonomy places the organism in Eukaryota, Viridiplantae, Streptophyta, Magnoliopsida, Brassicales, Brassicaceae. The transcript has 7 exons. The record is from RefSeq and is a predicted model, not a curated record.
AUUUGGUCGUAUGGUUUGUAGUUUGGUCCGGUUUAGUUUGUAGGUAAUAUGAUUGUAGUUUGGUCUGAUUUGUGUCUUCAGCGUUUUGUUUCAUAAAUGCUUGCCUUUUGUGCUUCAUACAUCCGAUUAGGGCUUCAUCGUUGUCUUCCUUCCUUACAGAACUCAAUCCACCGUAUCCACGUAUAUGAUAGCUUCUCCCUAAAACAUUAUAUAUCUCACACGGUAGCUACGUUCAUGUAAGCCAAUCUUCCCUUGAAAGUUUGUAAUGUUUCUUCGAGUUUCAUCUGCGGUGACAAUAAAAAAUUUUGGGUUCAUCUUUUGGACAAUCGAUUUCAUCUUCUAAGAAACGUAUAUCAUAGAUUGGUAAUUUUUAUUCCAUAAGCUGUCAGAUUGAUGAUGUAUACAUUCAACAUCCGUAUGUUUGGGUUUGAAUAAUUGUCCGUCAAAAAAGUUGGUGAUUUUAAUUGUUGCUUUCAAUCUCACAUCAAAGAUUCUAAAUUUUGAUGUCACUAUGGUUUCCGCCGCAAAAGCCCCCUGCGUGCUGAACCGCUUCUCCCUCUCCUGUCACCACGAAGAUAAGUGAAUGACGACAAGAACGAAAGGAUAAAGUGGGAAUAUAGGACAUGAGAAGCACUGGUAUCGUUAACAGCUUUAGUUAGUGCGAAGAGAAAAGCUAAACAACUAAUCAUUUGUUAGAUUUGGGAUAGUUUAAUGUUUUACCAUCAUGUCUCUUGGUAAUGUGAAGUUAUGAAUCAGCUGUUUCAAGAAAAGUGACGUUCCAGAGUUACAUUUGUACCGGUGUUUGGCCAGCGUGUAAUACUAAUAUGCAUCCCAAUGGAUAGCUUAACAGUAACUUUAUGAUCACAUGGUUUGACCCUCUUGCACUAUAUCUCUCUUUCGCCCCAUUCACUAGCACAAAUCUCUCUGAUCUCAUAUAAUUUUGUUGUUAUUUGUAGAACCAUUUUAACGAUCAAAGCUCAUUGCUGUGUUCACGAAAUUUAAGCAGGUCUCUUGAUGGAAGCUUGACCGAUAGGUGAGUGUCCAUGCAGAUUUGACUCGAUGUUGUCUUUGAUAAUGAAAGAAUGAAGAACAAUAUCUUAUGAAGAUCACUAGGACCGCCAUAAGAAACCAGGACAAGCCGAAGUAAUCCUCUGCAGUCCAUGGCAAACCAAGCAUCUACAUCAAUCGGUGUCAGUUUACAGCACAAAGAUGCUUAGUGUUAUACGUUUCUCAGCUCACUCCAGGACUUAAUUGGAGCGGGCGAUGGAGAGAAUUAGGAGGAGAUUUUGUUUCUUGGUUUUGGUUUCUGGUCAGAGAAGCGAAGAUCAUUCUUAUUCAGGUCAUUUCUUGCUUUUAAAUGUUUCUCAGAUUUUGUUUCUGUAUCUGGUAUAGUGUUUCGAUUUAGAUUGUCAGCACUUGCCUUAAUUAAGUAUUGACAUGAUGCUCUAUCCACAGUCUGGAGUCAAGUAGAGUCAUGUUCUAUAGCGACUUAUGUUGUCCUCAUCUGAUUAUUGGAGUAUUACAAAAUGAUUACCAUACAAAAUGAAAGUAUCUCCAAUCAUUUGUCUUUUGCAUCCAUGAAUACACAAACUUUUUGAUGGAUAUUACUUCUGUCAAGUACAAAGAGAAGACUACUUUCAUCGAGCCAAGCCUUACAAGGACCAUCCUACCAUUGCAAGAAGCUGAAAAUGGAUUUUAGUGUAGUAAUACCGGUUAUCUUCCUUGAGGAGGCAAAUAAUGCACAUUACAACUCAAUUGACCUCAGGGCUUAUAGGAAGUCACAUAUUCAUGAUGGAGCAGCAGGUGAGUCAAGUUUGGAGUUGGAAAGAGGUUGACCUUCUUUUGCUGAUACCUAUUGUUUACUUCAAGUUAUCAAGAGAAAUUUCAUUUCAAUCCUGGUGACACUGGCUUUAAUGUAGUCUUGAGCGGCAGGAUCCCCAAACUAAAGUUUGCAAAAAUUGAAGAGUGUCUUAUUCAGCUAUACGUUGGGAUCAAUGGUUACCGAGGCAACUCGAGGUAUGAUUCUUCAAGGUGUUGAACUGUUUUAUACCACUGCCACUGGCUCUGGACCUCAAGACCAUGGAUUAGAUUCGGGUGAUCACUAGAGGAGAGUCAUGCAAGGCCACGCUGGAGCUAAUAUUAUGAGCUAUUAGCCCAAGGAUCAUGAGUGAUUUGGAAGAAAGUGAUGAUUUUGGAGCAUUUUGGAGAUAAUUGGAGAGAGCAUCCGAGGUGACCAUCAAGCAAGACCAAUGGUCGACAUUCAGAGACAAUAAUCGAUCGAUGCACAUCUUGUGACAUUGAUCGACAGCGAAGCGCGCAGAAGCCCGUUUGGUUCCAGCCGACUUAUAGCCCAAGACUUCACCAAUUUACAUGAUUAUCCCUGACGAGUUUUAACCUAAUAUUUAUAGCUUGCCAAAGUGUUAGAGGCAAAGUGUGCUUUCUUGUUUUCUUAUUUUCACAGCAAAAGGUUUUCUAGGAUUUUAGCAGAGUUGGAGAAAAGAUCCAAAGAGAUUUGUGAUAGAAACUCCAUUAUUAUCUAUCUAUCUAUGCAGUUUUUAUACUUUAUUGUUGUUAUGAAUUGCUUACCUAUGUCUGAGUAGUUAUAUUGUUAGGUUUAGGGUUUAAAUAGGUUAUGAGGGAUUAGCCCCAACUAUAGAUUGCUAAGUUAGGAUAUUCAUCCUUAGAACUGUCAUUAAUGCAUGUUUUUAGUUUAGCUAGCUAGAACCUUGACCUAGGAGUUUAGGCACAAGUUAACACUUGAAUCUCACCAUGAAUCCGUCCUAAUUGAGCUAGGAUUGUUAGAGUAAGGCGAAGGCUGAUCUAGUAAGCCUAGUGAGCAUUAUUCAACCUGCGCGUAAAGCUUGACUAAGAACAUGUCGAUCGAUAUUCCUAUAAAAUAAUCGAUCGACGGUGCAAAAGGUGUAUCGAUUGAUAUUCCUCUAGAAUCAUCGAUCGACACUUAUAUCUGGUCAAUAGACAAACCUAGAAAGCGAACGCCGAUCGGUUUGUUCAUAAGUGUUUGAGCUCUAUUAUAUCAUGCAUAAAACUGUUAGGCAUCUGUAGGAUUAUAAUCCUGAUUACCUGAAUAGAAAUCCUAAGUCUAACUAUUUCAUUUAAGUGCCAAAAACUCAAUCAAGCCAAUCGAGCAACUGCCUUGCUCACAACAUGUUAUUUACAUUUAAACAUAAAUAACCUAGGUUAAUCAUUCUGAUUAGAUUUAUUUGGUUCCCUAGCUCCUUGUGGAUUCAAUCCUUGAGUAUUACAAUUGAACAUCUUAUUUGAGAGAGUAAUUCACUCCUUAAGGUAAUUGGAGUGAGAUCUUUCCGCGCUUAUAAGUAUUAAAAUCUAAUAAAAGUAAAAAUAUAUAUACUAUACUAAAAGGGAGAUAACUAGAGCGGGGAGAGUGUCCACCUCAGAUUAAAAAAUCAACCAAUCAGGGAAAUCCUUUAUGCCAUGUCAUUAGUUAUUGUCGAAAAUAAAGAUAAAAGGAAGCUUCGAUCAACCGCCUCUGCUUCUCUCACUUCGUCUUCUCGGUUACAUCUUCAUGAAAUCUACGUUAUAGCUACCAAUAUUAUCAAUAAAUUGUGUUCUUCAAGCUCCUCUUUACGAAUUCAUUUCUUAUCCUUUGUUUUUCCUUCUUUAUAAACCCUUCGCCUAGAUUUAAUCCAGUCAAAAACGAAAACCUCCACUAAAGAAGUUGAAGCUAUGGCGAUGAAACCCAAUGGAUAGUAAUCCACUAGAAAGUCUCCCGUCACCACCGGAAAGUCUCCCGUGCAGUAUGCUGUUAAAUUGUUUUGGCCGUGUGGCGAUUCUGAUUUUUAGGAACGAACGAACACACAUGAAUUUCAUAUGUUCAUGUCUUCCCUUCUUCAGGUUCAUUCCUUUAUUCAUAUAAUGGUUUCAUGGCCAAGCGUUAACCAUUCGAAAUAUUUGUCAUUCAGCUAUUUGAUAUGGUAUAUGGAGAAUUUUCAAGAUUUCUAUUCGGUUUGCUCUGGGUGAGAACAAAUCGUAAAAAGAUGCAGCCACAACAGGAAUAAAAAACACUAUGAAAAAAUUAUUACAAAGCAAAACGGUAAGAUUAUUACAGAGCAAAAAGAGUCCUUAAUCUUUGUUCCAAGAAUUUUGUUGUACCUGAUUUUGAAUGGUUUUGAUUGUCUUUAUGUAAGGAUCAAGCAUCUUCGCACAUGGUGUUCAAGAGAUCAUACAGAUGGACCUGAAGACAAGUAAGAUGAUCUUACCUGAUAAACACAUGCGGGCGAUUUCAGUUUGUCUAAAUUGGCAGUUGACAGAGCCUUUCAUGUCUCCGGCAUAUUGUCCAUGGCACAGUUGGAUAUCUGGAGCCCAAGUAUAUAACUCUGGAGUCCUUUUUCGUGGGUCAAACUGUGGAGUCCUUCUUGAGCUUAUGUCAGGCGUAGGCGUAGAAGCCAUAUCGAAUGAACACUUCCGAGUUCAUUAUACAAGGUAUAUUACUAAUCUGAGCUUUUUUAUUUUUUAAUGAACAGGCGUACAAAACAAAGAAAUGUUGCUAAGUGUCGGUCAGGAAAUGGCACUUCUGAGCUGUAGAGUUUGGUUAAAACGUUUUUCAGCAAUAUGCACCAAACUGUGAUCGAGAAUCGUGGAUUAAGGUUCUCGACUUUGUUAGCAGGAUUUUCCAUGGAAGUGUAGUUUUUUUUGUUGCUAACAUCGAUAGAAGUGUAGUUUUGAGAGGUACGAAGCUGUUAUGUAAUUGUGAGGAUUCUUGAGAAGAUUUGCGGUGGGUUAGCAGAAACAACAGCUGGCAAAUUAAUAGUAAUGUUUUCCAAGGUAAAAUACUGAUUGAAAGUGUACGGUUCUUUUGUUUAUUUAUGAGUGAAUAAUACUAUUGUCUGUUUAGUUUAACCCUUUCCAUUACCAUGUUUCUAAAGUGAUCGACUUAGACGCUGCGAAGAGUUUUGAAAAUGGAGAAGGUGUGCGUCUGAUAGCACCUCAGGAUGCCUGCAAGCUGCAACCAUUCAGCCAAGUAUAUUCGCACGGAAAUAUAGAUUGAUGGCGCGGACGGGUAAACACUCGAAUCUAGGAAAUAGUUGGCUCUGGAUGAAUCCAUUGAGAAGUUGCGACACAACGUCAAAGUCUUUCUCGACCGCCAGUGUCACGAUCUUGGGGGAGAAGAAGGCACAGUCUACGUGGUUAUCAGGUUUGAGAGAAUCGGAUGUGAAUAUUACUCUGUCUGUUUAGUCUAACCUUUUUCAUCACCAUGUUUCUGAAGAGAUCGAGUUAGACGCUGCAAAUAGUUGCAUGUGAGGGUGAGUAAAAUGGAAAGUGUGAGGAUAAGACAAUGAUGUUCAGGAGUUUACACCUGGCUCUCGAGACUUCACAAUAGAGAGCUUGAAGACAAAGCCAAAGAAGUACCAGAGCUGAAAACAGAGAGACAUAAGAAAAAACUUAAUAUAGACGAGGUCGAGGGUAUCGCGAGGCUGAAUCUAGCAGAGGCAGCCAUGUUAUAGCUUAAAGCUAACAAAGCAUAACGGGAGUCUGAGAGGUUGUAAAGAUUGUACUACGAAAACGGAAAAGUUUGAGGAGGAAUACGCAAGUAACUUCUGAACAGAGGUUGGCCAAGGCUGAGGCAGAGAAGCAAUAUAUGUUUGAGAAGAUUAACCUGACGGAAAAUUCAAGCUCGCAUCACAAAGUAGUGGUGGUGGAGGAGACCCGUCACAUGUGUGAUGUACUCAAAGAUCUGUGAUCUACUUCAUGGUAACAAUCUCACGCCUAAGGUAGAUCCUCAAUCAAAAGAGCACCAUCCUUUCAUAUCCAAACAUUGACGCUUCUUCCCUUCUAAGUUUGUUAAUUUUGUGUAAACAAGAUCUUUUAAUAAACAAGAGUGUAGAUAUGUGGAAUCUUUCUCAGGCCAAGAAGCUUUGCUUAAUUUGGAGAGUCAUGGUUUAUUUUAUAUGAUAUAU